AUGACCAACAAAUAUAUAUAUCCAACUGAGGUUCGUAACAACAAUAUAUUACAAGUUGACAACCAUAACAAACUGAGCCUGAGUUUGAAGUCCACACAUGCACACAUAUGCAACAAGAGUUCACAAACGAAAGAACCAUGAGUUUAAAGUUCACACAUGCAUACAUAUACAACGAAGGUUCAAAACAACAUGUGUCCAUAUGCAACAAGAAUUCACAAACGACAGCAUGAGUUCCAAGUUCACACCAAGCAUGAACCUAAAAGAUGCAAUGAGCUUCCACCGCAGCAUGUAUGCCCACCGCCGACGGCAUCUGCGAUGUAAACCUACAAAUCCAUUACCACACGCAUGAGUUUCCAAAGUUAAGUUGCAAAAGAUCAAUAAGGCACAAGAGUCAACAAGCAUCAACAUAUAAGAACUAACACACAUACUAGAAGAUUCACAACAAGUUCUAUCUUGAAGCCCUCAAUCUAGCAGACAAAAAUAUAUAAUGCAUAGAUUUCACAUUUUUCCCAGAGCUUGAGGUCAUUUAAUAUAGAACUACCAUAAGCUGCACCGAUCAUGGAGAGGAACUGAGUAACAAAUGACCAGGCUGCGAUCACCACACAAAAAUGUGUAUUAUCAGAUUUUGGUGGUUACAAAAAUAAGCCAUCACAAAUUUAUGAAAAGGACUAGCACAUCAAUUUGGAUAUAUGUUAUGUAACUAGGUCUGAGGCAUACAAUACAUGAACUAUAAUCAGCAUGUACAACAGCAAGCGGUAGGGUAUAAAAUUUCUACCUGUACUAAACAUACACUAGACAUCCAGCUUUCCGUUCCCAGCAACUAAAGUCUCAAAAUGUACAGUUUCAUCAAAUAGUAGCAGUGCAAACUCACAACUCUUCAAAUAAUGAUUGAGUGCCCAGCACAACAUACCAUUGAGUUGAUUUGGACUCAUCGAGGCCUUGCGCCAUAGCCAAUGUUUCAGUAACUCCUCGUCUCCUAAAAACUUAUCUCUUUAUCCGUGUACAUCUACACCUGCAUGAGGAAACAAUCAAUUAUUUCAUUUGGCUGUAGCAAACGUGGUGAAUAUAUAUAACUACAAUUACCCUUGCAUAAGCUGAAGCGGUCAUGGAGUAGAAACAAGAACAAAUGACCACGGAGCCAAUGCCACACAAACAUAUGUAUCAUCAGAUUUUGGUGCUUGCAAGAAUAACCCGUCAACAAAUUUAUGAAAAAGCCUAGCACAUCAAUUUUAAAAUAUGUGAUGUAACUAGGUCGAGGCAUCCAACAGAUUGACUACAAUCAGCAUGUACAACAGCAAAUGGUGGGCUACCAAAAUAAACAGGGCAGUGAGGUGUGAUAAGUUAUUUAUAAAGCGGGAUUGGGCUUCCCAAAAAACACAUGAGCUAUAAGAAGGCAAUGAGGCGUGAUAAUUUAUUUGUAGAAGAAAAGAGCAUAAUUAGUAAUGUAAACAUCUAGGGCAAGGUAGCAACCUUUUACCGUAGAAAAUCGACACAUUUUCUUCAUCCAGCUAGUCCACCAAUAAUGGAAGCACUAACCAAACAAUGUAUAUGCAGUCGCAAUUUUAGGGAACAAUGACAGUGAGCUAGAUCAGGUGUAAAAUGAAAUACCAUUCAUGAGCAUGAGCAUCAACCAUAAACACAUCAUAUAGAACAAGAUAUGAUAUGAAUUACAGAAUUUCGUCAUACCACUACACAAGAACCUGGAGUCGUGGUGCAUGACCUCAGAGUAAACCAAACCCAGGAGAGACCUCAUCAUCAUAGUUUGGUUUCACAACCAGAAUAGAAAAUAGGCUACAACAAAGCAAUGAUGACUUGGAAAAAAACUCAAAGUCAAUAGGGACUGUGUCCAAAUCUACAAAAGGAACAGAUCUGCAUCAGUGAUGUUUUCAAAUGAGUCUGCACAUCUCAGUUUUCACACGCUAAAUAAAAAGUGAUGCAAAUUCAUUUGUCUGUACGUACAAGUGCAAGUGCUAUCCAACAAGUCAGAUUUGUCGGUAGAGAAAUC
This 2005-nucleotide long non-coding RNA is filed under the name Triticum aestivum (bread wheat). RNAcentral describes it as "long non-coding RNA (TAES_LNC010604)". The record is from RNAcentral. Lineage: Eukaryota; Viridiplantae; Streptophyta; Magnoliopsida; Poales; Poaceae.